AAAUAUACACAUCGUUAAGUGUUCAGCAUAACAUCACUGUUUCGCUCGCAGUACCUUUCGGCGAUUUGCCUUCACGCUCCUGUGCGUCAAAAACGUGAAAGUUCAAAAGCGGCAACGUCGAAAUGAACACUUAGCUAAUAAUUCAAUAAUGUCUGUAGAUAUUGUGGGAGCUGACAGACAAGACUAAUGUGCCACCAAGAACACGUUUAAAUACUUAAAACAUUCGAUACUUCAAUCAAAAUAACGAUGUAAUAAUCUGUAAAUAAAUUGAAUUCAUGUUUCACACGAAGGCCCGUUCACGUUUUGUGUCAAAUCGGAUCCCCUUUGCUACAGUUUUCGCGCACUACACGAGGUGACUUGGCAGCACAAAGCAUUGGGAAAUGCAUGGAUUCAGAUGUAGUAUCUGUGAGAAAGUACUGAAAUGUAAAGGUGGAUAUACUGUUCAUCAGCAUAUGACUUGAAGUCAAAAGAAACGGAGACCAUUCAGUCAUUUCUACAGAUUUCCAAGCACGAAUGCUCUUAUGUUCAGCUGAGAACAAAAAUGAUGAACAAGCAGAAAAUACAGCAGCAAAGGACAAGGAAGAGAUGGCACACAUUUUAAGAAUAAAAUUAACUUAAUAAAUAUUCAGAUCAUUUCUAAGGGAUGUUACAUUUGGGAAUUCACUUUCCCAGUAUAGUACAGAUACUAGUUGUGUGAUUUGAACCCACCCUCUAAGAGUGAAACACCUUAUCACAGAACAACAUUGUCAGCAAUUUAACCUGACAAAUGUUAGUCAAGGUCUCGAUCAGAGAAGUGUAAAUGCCACAAUUACAAUUUUUUGCAAAGUUAUGCAAAUAAGAAUGUCAAAACUAUUUGGUUUAAUAAAUAGUAAUUAUUAAACUUA
RNAcentral lists this long non-coding RNA (884 nucleotides) under Haliotis rubra (blacklip abalone). Its description in RNAcentral is "uncharacterized LOC124282279, transcript variant X1". Lineage: Eukaryota; Metazoa; Mollusca; Gastropoda; Lepetellida; Haliotidae. The record is from RNAcentral.